GAUGAACGCUAGCGGCAGGCCUAACACAUGCAAGUCGAGGGGGAAGUUACUUUCGGGUGACUGAGACCGGCGUACGGGUGCGUAACGCGUAUACAAUCUUCCUUUCACUGGGGGAUAGCCCGAAGAAAUUUGGAUUAAUACCCCAUAGUAUAUAGUGACGGCAUCGUUUUUAUAUUAAAGCUUAGGUGGUUAAAGAUUAGUAUGCGUUCUAUUAGCUAGUUGGAGAGGUAACGGCUCCCCAAGGCGAUGAUAGAUAGGGGUUCUGAGAGGGAUGUCCCCCACAAUGGUAAUGCGAUACAGACCAGAACGCUAGGGAAGGCAGGAGAAAGGAAUAUUAGACAAUGGACGGAAGCCUGAUACAGCCAUGCGGGGUGCAAGAGGAAGGUGUUAUGGAAUGUAAACUGCUAUUGAAGGAGAAGAAUAAGGGCUACGCGUAGUUUGAUGACGGUACCUAACGAAUAAGCAUCGGCUAACUCCGUG
This 480-nucleotide ribosomal RNA is filed under the name uncultured bacterium. RNAcentral's name for it is "partial 16S ribosomal RNA". It matches the Rfam family "Bacterial small subunit ribosomal RNA", at positions 28 to 507 of the family's 1533-position model. The record is from RNAcentral.